This 253-nucleotide ribosomal RNA is filed under the name uncultured bacterium. RNAcentral describes it as "partial 16S ribosomal RNA". It matches the Rfam family "Bacterial small subunit ribosomal RNA", at positions 524 to 776 of the family's 1533-position model. The record is from RNAcentral.
UACGGAGGGUGCGAGCGUUGUCCGGAAUCACUGGGCGUAAAGAGCUCGUAGGCGGUUUGUCGCGUCUGCCGUGAAAGUCCGGGGCUCAACUCCGGAUCUGCGGUGGGUACGGGCAGACUAGAGUGAUGUAGGGGAGAGUGGAAUUCCUGGUGUAGCGGUGGAAUGCGCAGAUAUCAGGAAGAACACCCGUGGCGAAGGCGGCUCUCUGGAACGCAACUGACGCUGAGACGCGAAAGCGUGGGGAGCAAACAGG